Molecule: non-coding RNA, 214 nt
Organism: Arabidopsis thaliana (thale cress)
Lineage: Eukaryota; Viridiplantae; Streptophyta; Magnoliopsida; Brassicales; Brassicaceae
Source: RefSeq
AGUAACGAAAUUCUUUACAUAUACAUGUGUAUGUAAAUAUUUUUGUUACUAUUUGAACCGCACCGCAUUUUAUCCGCAGUUGAAUCGCACGUCUCCACUCGGAACCAAUGAGUCUGAAUGAUGACUGCGUUUUGCGGUGCGGGAGAAGUGCGGUGCAGUUCAAAUAGUAACGAAAAUACAUAGAUACAUAUGUAUAUAUAGAGAUUUUGAUACU